RNAcentral lists this long non-coding RNA (340 nucleotides) under Pongo abelii (Sumatran orangutan). Its description in RNAcentral is "lncRNA (ENSPPYG00000036194.1)". The record is from RNAcentral. Lineage: Eukaryota; Metazoa; Chordata; Mammalia; Primates; Hominidae.
GUUUCUCUGGAAUGUAGAAUAUGUGUAUACCUUAUUGUAGAUGAAGAAUAACUUUUCCUUUUUAAAAGUUCCCCUAGAUAGCCCUGGAAAAACUGACUUCUGGGGUUACGAGGAAGGUGGAACUGGCUCCUGAAUGAGAGCCUCUGGAGAUUCAGCGAUCGACUUAUUCCUGAGAUUCCUUUGUGGCCACUUUUACUGAGAUCAUCCUUCUGUUUGGGGGCUUGAAGAGAGUGAUGCAUUUUAGGUGUUGAAUAGAUGCUGAGCUCCUUAGCCUAAUCAGUUUGAAGUUCUCAUUUGAAUCUUUUUUUUUUUUUAAUGGACAAAGACCCCUAACUUGUGG